UGUUAAAAAAUUCAUCCACUUGUACUACUAAAAACUAAAAAGUGACACGUGGCAUGCUACGUGUACAUCACGAAACGUACAAAACUAAUUUUUAGCAAUAGAAAUGGAUGAAUUUUUAACA
Molecule: non-coding RNA, 121 nt
Organism: Gossypium raimondii (Peruvian cotton)
Lineage: Eukaryota; Viridiplantae; Streptophyta; Magnoliopsida; Malvales; Malvaceae
Source: Rfam